Molecule: ribosomal RNA, 835 nt
Filed under: Tubeufia roseohelicospora
Lineage: Eukaryota; Fungi; Ascomycota; Dothideomycetes; Tubeufiales; Tubeufiaceae
Description: partial large subunit ribosomal RNA
Rfam family: Eukaryotic large subunit ribosomal RNA
Source: RNAcentral
GCCUCAGUAACGGCGAGUGAAGCGGCAAUAGCUCAAAUUUGAAAUCUGCUCUUUUUGAGUCGAAUUGUAAUUUGUAGAGGAUGCUUCGGCUUACGUCUCGGUCUAAGUUCCUUGGAACAGGACGUCACAGAGGGUGAGAAUCCCGUUUGUGGCCGCGACUUCCGCCAUGUGAAGCUCCUUCGACGAGUCGAGUUGUUUGGGAAUGCAGCUCUAAAUGGGAGGUAUAUUUCUUCUAAAGCUAAAUACCGGCCAGAGACCGAUAGCGCACAAGUAGAGUGAUCGAAAGAUGAAAAGCACUUUGGAAAGAGAGUUAAAAAGUACGUGAAAUUGUUGAAAGGGAAGCGCUUGCGACCAGACUUGCCCGCGGAUGCUCAACCGGUCCUUCGGCCGGUGCACUCUUCCGCGGUCAGGCCAGCAUCAGUUCGAGUAGCCAGAUAAAGGCUUAGGGAAUGUGGCUCUCUUCGGGGAGUGUUAUAGCCCUUUGUGCAAUAUGGCUCACUUGGACUGAGGCCCGCGCUUCGGCUAGGAUGCUGGCGUAAUGGUCGUAAGCGGCCCGUCUUGAAACACGGACCAAGGAGUCUAACAUCUAUGCGAGUGUUUGGGUGUCAAACCCGUGCGCGAAAUGAAAGUGAACGGAGGUGGGAACCUUUGGGUGCACCAUCGACCGAUCCUGAUGUCUUCGGAUGGAUUUGAGUAAGAGCAUAGCUGUUGGGACCCGAAAGAUGGUGAACUAUGCCUGAAUAGGGUGAAGCCAGAGGAAACUCUGGUGGAGGCUCGCAGCGGUUCUGACGUGCAAAUCGAUCGUCAAAUUUGGGUAUAGGGGCGAAAGACUAAU